AAUCAACGCUGGCGGCGUGCCUAACACAUGCAAGUCGAACGGGAAAACGGGGGCAACUCCGUGAGUAUAGUGGCGUACGGGUGAGUAACACGUGACUACCUACCUUUGAGUGGGGGAGUAACCCCGGGAAACCGGGGACGUAAUACCGCAUAACAUCGCAAGAUCAAAGAAAGCAAUUCGCUUAAAGAGGGGGUCGGCGGCUGAUUAGCUAGUUGGUAGGGUAAUGGCCUACCAAGGCGAUGAUCGGUAGCCGGCCUGAGAGGGCGCACGGCCACACUGGAACUGAAACACGGUCCAGACUCCUACGGGAGGCAGCAGUGGGGAAGUUUUGUCGCGAAUGGGGGAAACCCGUAGACGCAGCAACGCCGCGUGGAGGAUGAAGU
Molecule: ribosomal RNA, 383 nt
Filed under: uncultured bacterium
Lineage: Bacteria
Description: bacterial SSU rRNA
Rfam family: Bacterial small subunit ribosomal RNA
Source: RNAcentral